GGCAGGGGGGCGGCUACACAUGCAAGUCGAACGGUAACAUUUCUAGCUUGCUAGAAGAUGACGAGUGGCGGACGGGUGAGUAAUGCUUGGGAACUUGCCUUUGCGAGGGGGAUAACAGUUGGAAACGACUGCUAAUACCGCAUAAUGUCUUCGGACCAAACGGGGCUUUUAGCUCCGGCGCAAAGAGAGGCCCAAGUGAGAUCAGCUAGUUGGUAAGGUAACGGCUUACCAAGGCGACGAUCUCUAGCUGUUCUGAGAGGAAGGUCAGCCACACUGGGACUGAGACACGGCCCAGACUCCUACGGGAGGCAGCAGUGGGGAAUAUUGCACAAUGGGGGAAACCCUGAUGCAGCCAUGCCGCGUGUGUGAAGAAGGCCUUCGGGUUGUAAAGCACUUUCAGUUGUGAGGAAAAGUUAGUAGUUAAUACCUGCUAGCCGUGACGUUAACAACAGAAGAAGCACCGGCUAACUCCGUGCCAGCAGCCGCGGUAAUACGGAGGGUGCGAGCGUUAAUCGGAAUUACUGGGCGUAAAGCGCACGCAGGCGGUUUGUUAAGCUAGAUGUGAAAGCCCCGGGCUCAACCUGGGAUGGUCAUUUAGAACUGGCAGACUAGAGUCUUGGAGAGGGGAGUGGAAUUCCAGGUGUAGCGGUGAAAUGCGUAGAUAUCUGGAGGAACAUCAGUGGCGAAGGCGACUCUCUGGCCAAAGACUGACGCUCAUGUGCGAAAGUGUGGGUAGCGAACAGGAUUAGAUACCCUGGUAGUCCACACCGUAACGCUGUCUACUAGCUGUGUGUGUCUUUAAGACGUGCGUAGCGAAGCUAACGCGCUAAGUAGACCGCCUGGGGAGUACGGCCGCAAGGUUAAACUCAAUGAAUUGACGGGGGCCCGCACAAGCGGUGGAGCAUGUGUUUAAUUCGAUGCACGCGGAAGAACCUUACCUACACUUGACAUGCUGAGAGUUACUAGAGAUAGUUCGUGCUUCGGAACUCAGACACAGUGCUGCAUGCUGUCGUCAGCUCGUGUCGUGAGAUGUUGGGUUAAGUCCGCAACGAGGCAACCUUGUCCUUAAUUGCCAGCCUUAAAUUGGCACUCUAGGAGACGGCGGGGACAAACCGAAGAAGUGUGGGGACGAAUAAAGGCACAUGGGCCUUUCAUGGUAGGGGUCACCCCGGUCACAUGGCUUAUCAGGGAGCAGCAGCAGUGUGGUGAGCGGCACUCUCAUAAAUGGACGUGAGCU
RNAcentral lists this ribosomal RNA (1237 nucleotides) under uncultured Gammaproteobacteria bacterium. Its description in RNAcentral is "partial 16S ribosomal RNA". It matches the Rfam family "Bacterial small subunit ribosomal RNA", at positions 38 to 1293 of the family's 1533-position model. Lineage: Bacteria; Pseudomonadati; Pseudomonadota; Gammaproteobacteria. The record is from RNAcentral.